RNAcentral lists this ribosomal RNA (158 nucleotides) under Rhynchosporium secalis (leaf blotch of barley). Its description in RNAcentral is "5.8S ribosomal RNA". It matches the Rfam family "5.8S ribosomal RNA". From Rfam's summary of the family: 5.8S ribosomal RNA (5.8S rRNA) is a component of the large subunit of the eukaryotic ribosome. It is transcribed by RNA polymerase I as part of the 45S precursor that also contains 18S and 28S rRNA. Functionally, it is thought that 5.8S rRNA may be involved in ribosome translocation. Lineage: Eukaryota; Fungi; Ascomycota; Leotiomycetes; Helotiales; Ploettnerulaceae. RNAcentral also lists the same sequence under 6 other names. The record is from RNAcentral.
AACUUUCAACAACGGAUCUCUUGGUUCUGGCAUCGAUGAAGAACGCAGCGAAAUGCGAUAAGUAAUGUGAAUUGCAGAAUUCAGUGAAUCAUCGAAUCUUUGAACGCACAUUGCGCCCUCUGGUAUUCCGGGGGGCAUGCCUGUUCGAGCGUCAUUAU